AGAGUUGUCCCUAGUUGAGGGAAGAAGAACCAGCUAUUUACGUCCCUCCAUCCGCAGUCUUAGUGGGGGACCAUCUUAUGAAGGGGUAAUCUUAGACAUGACAUCUUCUAUGGCUUAGAGCAGGGGUCUUGUGGGCCUCACUGUCUCUGUCACAACUACUUCAAUCUGCUGAUGUAGAGCAAAAGCAGCCAUAGACAAUAUGUAAACAAAGGGCAUAGCUGCGUUCCAAUGAAACUUUAUGCGCUAAAACAGGUAGCCAACUCGUGGGCCAUAGUCUGCUAACCCAAGGCCUAGAGUUAUUCUCACUGAGAGGCACAGCUCUGAGACAUCAGCAGUUGAUAUUCCCGGAAGCUGGGGGAUGAGUUCUUAACCCUCAAUUGCAGGUUUGGGCAGAGCACCAUAGGUGCGCUGCAGUUCCCGCCUCGCACGUUUCGGAUCUACAUGCUUCUUAUGAAGAACAGAGCCUCCCAGCAACCUGCUUGGCAUACUCUCCACUCAAUGAGCACACAUAGCAGGAAUCCACUCUAAUUUUGUCGGAGAGAGAGGAACUGAGUCACACCAUAUUAGGUUUGGCCAACUCUUAAUCAGAAGUUUGCUGUAAAUUAUGGCGGUUGAGGGCACCACAAGCUUUGAGGACAUGGGAGAUUAUUGCUGAGAAAGCUGAAAUUUUCAACAGAAAUUCCGGGAAGCCAGAAGUCUCUGGGAUGCUGAGUUCCCCAGGCAAUCAGGCACAUUGAAUCCAAAGUCCCUCCGAGGACACAGGAUACCUGGAGUUUUUUUCCUUUGGUACAACAUGGAAGGAAGAGGCAGCCACAAUAAAAGAGUCAAGAGUUGAGUCAUUCUACCAAGUAAAGAAGCCUGUCCAAUUGAAGUGUUGGUGGAGAGUAAAACGAAUACAGAAUUUGAGGAGGACCAAAGCAGAACCCAGAGGCUUUGCCCUUCCCCUGCUGUCUCCAGAUGUCCACGGCAGCACGUGGCGAUACUGCUGUGCUCAAGGACUUAACAAAAGUCUCACAGUCACACCAGCAGCUUCAUCUUUAGACAAUGUUUUUCAAGCACUACCCUGGAUUCGACGUUUGCUCAGAGCCAUUUGUUUACUUUUAUCAUUUGCUAUGUGGAGAGGCUGAGAAUCUUCAAAAUGAUCAAGCCCUGGCUCAUUUUGUUUACCAGUCGUUCCUUCUAUUUCUCUCUCUCAUCUUG
This 1200-nucleotide long non-coding RNA is filed under the name Equus caballus (horse). RNAcentral's name for it is "lncRNA (ENSECAG00000057151.1)". The record is from RNAcentral. Lineage: Eukaryota; Metazoa; Chordata; Mammalia; Perissodactyla; Equidae.